AUUGAACGCUGGCGGCAUGCCUUACACAUGCAAGUCGAACGGCAGCACGGGAGCAAUCCUGGUGGCGAGUGGCGAACGGGUGAGUAAUGUAUCGGAACGUACCUUUCAGUGGGGGAUAACGUAGCGAAAGUUACGCUAAUACCGCAUAUUCUGUGAGCAGGAAAGCAGGGGAUCGCAAGACCUUGCGCUGAUUGAGCGGCCGAUAUCAGAUUAGCUAGUUGGUGAGGUAAAGGCUCACCAAGGCGACGAUCUGUAGCGGGUCUGAGAGGAUGAUCCGCCACACUGGAACUGAGACACGGUCCAGACUCCUACGGGAGGCAGCAGUGGGGAAUUUUGGACAAUGGGCGCAAGCCUGAUCCAGCCAUGCCGCGUGAGUGAAGAAGGCCUUC
RNAcentral lists this ribosomal RNA (389 nucleotides) under uncultured bacterium. RNAcentral describes it as "bacterial SSU rRNA". It matches the Rfam family "Bacterial small subunit ribosomal RNA", at positions 30 to 419 of the family's 1533-position model. The record is from RNAcentral.